UAUGCCACGCUUCUAGGCAAAGUCUUUGACCAUAUAUAGCGAUGGUCAAAGACUUUGCCUUGAAGCGUGGCAUAUAAAUAUG
Molecule: microRNA precursor, 82 nt
Filed under: Paramuricea clavata
Lineage: Eukaryota; Metazoa; Cnidaria; Anthozoa; Malacalcyonacea; Plexauridae
Source: RNAcentral